GAAAGAGCAGUGAGGAGGAGGGGCCGCGGCAGGGCCGGGACCUGGCUGAGCUUUCGAGUCGGCUGCACAGACAGGAGAGGGCUCUGGAAACGGCCUGGGGUUGGGGGGGGGGGGGCGGUGCGUGGAAGGGGGGUAGCGGGGACUGGACGCCACACAAAGCUGCCUUUUGUUCCACGUCAGUGCUUCUGUUUCUCCCAAAGCUGAAGGCUGAUUGCUUUCCCUCCUUAAUUUUCUUGUCUCCUCUGUGUUUCUAUCAGUCUAAACAAAAACAGUGAGAAGCCAGACACCCUCUGAAUUAAGGCUGGAACUGACCGGCUAGGCAGAGCUGCUGAGGUGCAGGGACGAACGCACGAAGGCACACAAGCAUUCACGGUCAAGGGUCUAUUUUCACUACGGACGCUCACCGGCACCCCUCAAGCAGCAGCUCAUCUGACAGGCCAUCCCACACCCCACGCCCCAUCUGAAAUCGGGUUCCCAGAUCACAAAGUGGCGGGGGCGGGGGGCACGGAAUGAAAUCCAGAGCCAGGGAGACCUGGAGUGAAACCCUGCUGCUCGCUUCUCACCGCAGGACCCCAGGCUGGUGAUUUGAACCCUCUGUACCUCGCUGACUGACCUGCGGGAUGAGGAGGAGGAGGACAGUACCUUACGGAGUCUGUGGGGAAGAUCAAAUGAGCCACACCAGAUAUAAAGUGCUCAGCAGAGUCCUUGGCACGUGCUUGGGCGUUUCAAUGGCGUUAGCCCAAUAUUUACGGCCGGGGUCCUGUUACCGGACUGCCAGCGGACAGGUUCAUUCAAAUCUUGAUGGUGGCCUGUGGCUUGGGCAGUCCUUUGUUAGAGAGCUCUGCAGGGCUUAAAGGCAGUGUGCACGUAGUAUGGCUGUCUUGUGCUAUUACUUCUGUGAUUCCUUCUGUGAUUCCCCAGCUGAAGUCAUGAAGACAUAAACUAUAGCUUACCCCUCGGUAGAUUUUCUUUUUUUGGAGGGGGGGGGGCGGUCUUUCUCUACAACUGCUUUUCCUAGAGCACUCCCAGAUGAGCUGCUCAGAAAUGUCUCUUUGGUGAUAAUCGCAUGCUUCUGGAGCCCAGAAGGAAAUUCUUGGGAGACAGGAGCAUGGCAUAUGAGCUAAGAGCUAACGGGGCUGCAGGCCUGGACCAGAUGGGUGGACAGGCUUGGGAAGAGGAAUGACCACAGACACCGGGUGAGCACUUCACCAUUGGUAAAACUCUCCCUGAAGACUCGUCAGUUCCUGCUAAUGAAAAUCCCAGCCAUCAUUUACUGAGGGCUUGCUCUGCACCAGGCAGCAUGCAGAGUGUAUUUUUUUUAAAUGUUUAUUUACUUUGAGAGAGAGAGAGAGAACACGGAGUAGGGGCAGAGAGAGAGGGAGAAAGAAUCCCAAGCAGGCUCUGUGCUAUCCAGCUCAGAACCCAACGUGCGGCUCGAACUCACAAAUGGUUGAGAUCAGGACCUGAGUCGGAAUCAAGAGUUGGAUGCUUAACCAACUGAGCCACCCAGGCGCUCUAUGCAGGGUGUAUUCUUACCUGUUCUGACCAACCCUCCCCACAACCCUACAAGGUAGAGUCUUCUAUGAUCCCAAUUUUACAUAGAUAGGAACAUCGAGGCUUAGAAAGUUUAGGUACUCUGCCCAAGUUCACAGAGCUGAAGACUGGGCCACAGGCAUCCAGAUGCCAAGGGCCAUGCUCCUUAUCACUUUGCUACACGGCCCCUCUGGACUGCCUAAGACUUUGUUUUGGGCUCCCUGAGCGGAUGAUUAAUUCCUGCGCUUUGUGCAACGGGCCAAAGACCACCAACUUUGUCGGCAGGUGGUGAGUUGGCCUUUACAGCAUUGGUGGUCUCUCUUCUGGAGGCUUUGACAUCAACCCAGCAGCUGCAUCUAGGGCACUACAAAGGACCAGAUGCUUUUGUGUAGCUGCAUGUCAGAGAAGAGAAGGGUAUAAGCUUUGGCAGGCUUAGGGGUGAAUCACGGCCUUGCUGCUCACUGGCAUGGGAUGCUGGGCAAGCUACUUACCCUCUCUGAGUCUUAGUUUGAUCAUUUGCAAAAUAAAGCUGACAUCCACCCAGAUGGCUUGCAAGGAAUAAAGGUAAUGAGCAAGAAUCACUUGAAACAUAGUAGGCUCUUAGUAUAUGGCAGAUCCUAUUAUUUCUACUUAUAAGUGUAUAUUUACAGGAACGGGAAUUUCAAGAAACAGGUUUUUUAAAAUAUUUGAGAGAGAGAGAAAGAGAAUGAAUGAGUGGUGGAGGGGCAGAGAGAGAGAGACAGACACAGACACACACACACACACACACACACACACACACACACACACAAUCCAAAGCAGGGUCCAGGCUCUGAGCUGUCAGCCCAGAGCCCAACGCAGGGCUCGAACUCACGAAGCGUGAGAUCAUGGCCUGAGCUGAAGUCGGACACUCAACCGACUGAGCCACCCAGGUGCCCCUGAAACACAUUAUUUAUUUAUUUAUCUAUCUAUCUAUCUAUCUAUCUACCUAUCUAUCUAUUUUUUUUUUUUUUAAGUAUGGGAAAGCUUUCAAAAGGCACAAGGAAACCCAAGGUGAUCUUCAAAGCAUCUUUAUGCGAACUAGAGAAGAGAGAAGUCAGACUGCCUCCGGUAGCUGAGCAGGAAGGACUGUUUCCACCAGUCACUUACAGUGUUUCUUCACCAGCUGCCAAGCAAUGAAUGAAAACAAAAGACGUAAAAAGGGAGCCCUGGUAUCUCCCUCCAUUGUCAAUGGGCUCCAUAAACGGGGAAUUGAAAGCUGGCAGAUGUGAGCCAGCAGAGAGAGAGAGAGAGAGAGAGAGAAAUCCUGGCAGUUGUUUAGGGGGAACAAAAUUAGUAGCACGUAGAGAGUCAUAUUUUAGUUAGGAAGUUAGGGAGUCUCUUCUAUGUGUGAGGAAAUAUCCCAGGGAGAGGGGCUAUGGUAGGGAGGCGGAUGUUUAUGUGCAUGUGUCAACUCGCUCCCUGUAGGUAUGCGCACGUGCAUGGAAAGCCAGCGUUUGCUCAUAAUUUGUAAGACAGGGAAGAGUAUGUGACGUGUGUCAGACCAAGGCCUGCCUGUUACACGCGCCGGGGUGGGGGGUGGGGAGGGAUGUAGGAAGGCAUGGUAGGGUGGCAGGGUUUUGUAGAUCUAGGAAAAUCACAGUUGACCAUUUUCGGAAGUACUGAUUUUUUUUUUCCUCCCCUCUCCGUCUCAACUAUCCCGAGCACUGUGGCAGAGAGAGAAAGAACCUUCUGAGAAGAAACCACUCAGCUUUGGAGCAUGCUGCCCUCAGGUCCAGGUUGGGGGUGGAGUUUUAGUCCUGAUUUUUUCGUGGUUCACAGGAAGACGAUGCUGGAACCCAGCCUGAGACAAGUCCUUGCUGAAGCACCUCCUGAGAGGGGAUGGGGGAAAUCCCUCCCCACCUGCCUGCCAGUCACCGGUCAGCAGAGGCCAGCAUUACCAAAGCUGACGGAGACUUGUCUAUGUCAGCUGGCAAAGAAUGCGGUGGUAGAUGUUACCGAGGUCUUCGUUCGGAUCUCCUCAUCUGAGAACACGAGGAUUACAUCUCCCUUGGGCGUAGCCAGGCACCACAGAACUCUGUCAUUGAAAUGUGAGCACGGGGACACGUGUCACUUCCGUGGAGAACCACAGGUGAGCCGGCACCUGACUUGCCAUGCUCUUUCGCCCUGCCUGAUCACAGAAGCACACGAGAUCCUCCGGGACGGUACCCGAGGUAACGAUGAGCAGAUGCACGGUAUAUACAGCACGAACGAGAAACAAACCUUUAGUGUUACUAAGCAACUACGAUCUUGGAGGUGUUUGUUACCACAGCAGAACCAAGCCUACCCUGACUAGUACAAAAGGCUUAUUGGGAAAUAAAAAGUCAUGCUCUUUAGGAACAGUGAUCCUGGGAAGGCUUGAAAUAGUGAAGUACCAUUUCGGGUACAGGUGGGCAAUGGGGUGAAAACCUCUUUGCUUUUCUUGCAAUUUGGCCCCCGUGGAGUAUCUGGAUCUUAUUUUCUUCUUCUUCUUCUUUUUUUUUUUUAAGUUUAUUUAUUUUGAGAGAGAGAGAAGCCCAAGCAGGCUCCACGCUGUCAGUACAGAUCCUGAUGCAGGGCUCGAUCUCUCUAACGGUGAGAUCAUGACCUGAGCUGAAACAAAGAGGUGGACACCUAACCGACUGAACCACCCAGGCACCCCUGUAGUGUCUUGAUCUUAAGACAAAUACAGCAGGGUCAGCUUUUUCUGGAAGACUGUGGUCAGUAAGAUGUCCAGAACAAAACCAAGAAGCACCCAUCUGUCUCGUUUACUUGAUAUAGCUCAUUGCCAGUGAAACUGCAACCGUGAAGAAAAAAAGACACUGGAAAGAAUGGGGUGGAGACAGUAUCCCAGGCUGGGGGAACAGCCCGAGCAAAGACACGGCAUCCUCAGGGGACUCUGAGCAGACUAGCUAAGCUCUACCCAGGCACUCAUAGACCCUUGGCCAUUCCAGGCGCGGACAAGUGAAGCAAAGCAUCGCUGUGAUGGAGAGGUCUGCCUGCCAGGAGAUUGGCACAGUCCAGGCCUGCCUUUGCCUCGCUGCCUGUAGGCACGAAGGGUUUCUGCUUUACAACAGCCAUUUUUCUAACCCUGCCGCGCCUUAGAAUCCCACAUCCAGAGUGUCUUUGUGGUUUCGUCGGGUAGGCUCAGCACGCUUUUGGCAGUGUUUAGCUUCCUCUGUUGAAGGUCAUGUAAACAGAUGGGGCUGAGAUUGUCUCCCACUUCUGGGGACUGCUACCAUUGUAGGUACGAAAGAACAGUCACUGGGAACAGAGGCAAACCGGUUUAAAACGAAGCAAACAACCAAACCAGCCCAUGAGGACACCCGAGACUAUGAGAAGAGCAGAUCAAAGCAAAUUUGGGACAUUGACUUCUUACUCUCAGGCCACGCUGAUGGGCACGGUGCUACAUGCUUUGCACGAUUAACUCUUGUCAUCCAGGCCCAGACCCAUGAGGAGAAAUGCCCUCGGGAUCACACAGCUUGGAAGGGGCAUAGCUGAGAUUUAAAUGGAGGUCUGAUUCCAGCACCGGAGCUCAGAACUCAAAAUCGCUACAUGAGAACACCUCAUCUGUUAAGUGGAAUAACAGCAGGACCCACCUUCCAAUGGGAAUGUUCUGCAGUUCGGAAGAGGCCAUCUACAUACAGCCUUCAUAAGGGGUCAGGGCAUGGCUGCCGUUACCAAUCUGCUUUUGCUAAACCCCCUGUUAACGUUGCUCAGUUCAGUGCUUUGGGGCACACGCUGUUACCAAGUCCUUCUCUUUUCUGGGUUCGGUUCUCAACUGGUUUCACUUUUAAAAGAUAUUCUAUGAAAGCAAUUCUGGAGGCAGCAUCCUUCCUUCCGUGGGGUGUCAGAAGAGGCAUCUAUCCUUAAGAAGAGGGGCAGAGGGAGCCUGUGUCUAAACAUGGCCAGCAGAGCCCUACUGGGAAGCUGCCCAUGGGGUCUCUCCACCCCACAGGUGGCCUGUUCCUACAACCAACCACCUCCCCUCCACACAGACUGCAACCAGCCUCCCUCGCUGCUCUCUCCCUUUCAACCCUGUGCCCUGAGCUGCAGCCAGCCUACAUGGAGGGCACACUCUCUCCUCCAACUGCCCCGCGACAAGGGCUCUGCCUUGCUCGCCUCCCCACAAGUUCCAGACCACGGUUUUCCCCAGUCCCCUUCCCGGCUCUCAGCUGGGGUUUCAGAAACACGUGGCUGUGAGUCUGGCCCUUUACAUUCAGGCUUCACUUUGGACAGCCCUAAAGAGGGACUCUGUCUUCACCAGUGAAGAAAAAACAGAGCAGGGUCAUCCCUAAAGAAUUAAGAACUCCAUUCUCAAAAUACGGCCCAAAUCUGCUCCAGAGAGAACAACGAGUUUUAGUCACAAGAUUAGAAAUCAUCAAAAUUGCUGGAAACUGUAGAAUUGGGUCUUACUCGCCAAUAGAACAGAAUAAGUUAUGUUCUUCUGCCCUCUACUGGUAAAGAGCAGCAUCAGCGCUCCCAGAGCCCUCAGCAAGGAUGCAAACAGAAGAUGGUGGUGACUCACGUUGCUCCCUUCUCUUUCCUAGAGACACGCUGGAUGGGACUUCUGCUAUUAACUCGUGGCGGGAGGAGGGGGAGGCUACCAUCAGCAAGAUGCCCAGGUGGACUAGAAACGUGCCCCUCUAUCUUAUACCCGGGGAGGCUUCGAACUUCCAGGGAACCCAGAACCACGGAUGAUGUCCCUUCGCACUGGCCCAGAGGGUGAGGACAGAUGUUGCCCGGGACUGUGAGCAGGACUCUAGGCUGAGGGAACAGCCUGAGCAAAGGAAUGAAUGGCACACCGAGGGGAACCAUGAAUGAACCAAAGGUCCACCCCUUGGUCAUUCCAGGCACAGAGAAAAGAUGCGAUUUCAUUCCCAGGAGAGAGCUUCCAUUGCUCAGAAGACAUGGGUUUUAUACAGAUACACCCCUUGGACUGGGUACAUCCCUGUCCGUCCCCGUCCCCCCCCCCCCCCGCCAGCCCUCAUUUGUACAAUGAAAGGGUUGGAAGAGAAUGAUGUGAGGUCCUUUCUGGCUCAGAUUGUGGUAACUAACCCACGGGCCUUAACCUACGGGGACCACUGCCUACACGCUGAGGGCAGAAUAUGCUUCUUGGCCACUUGCCCUCUCCUUCCAGGCAGGCUUCCCCAUUGCACGGGGCAUGCAACCCCCUCCCCUCACCCUCUUUUGUGAUUCUUAUCUUGUACUGCCUUUGGCACAGUGGUGGAAGCUUUUUUGUUCAUGCAAUCAAAAUGGCGGCCAACUCCCACCACGUGUUGGUUCUCUGACCAGGCUUCUGCUCGUCCUCGGGCUCGUUAGGAGUGGGGGUUCAAAGGUCAACCAACUGCCACAACACAGCAGCAUCCAACCACCUCCUGAACAAACCCAGCACUUGAGAAGAAUAAGUAAAUAAAGCUGCAUUUGCUUCCUUUUUUCCCUCCCCACUUGGAUAUUCGUCACAUCAUUAGCUAUAAGUAAAUAUAUCAGUGGGAUUAAUGGAGUGAAUCACAAAGCAACCUGAUUAGAUUGAAAACCACAUUAUUUCUUUGGGGUGAACUGGUAAAUUUAGCACUGCCCAGAGAUGAUGGAUUGAGAAACCAGGAAUGGAGCUCUUAUUGAUCUUGAGAAUAGAUCGGUACGAGGAGGAGAGGCUGGGAUGGCUUCCUGCGCUCGGUUCUCCGAGAGACAGGAAUCAUGGCUUCCCUGCUCACUGAACUGCACAGAAAUAGCGUGUGCUGUUCUGGGCCCAUAGUCGGAGUCGUGACCACACGCGGUAGGUAGUGUCCAAGAUGGCCACCAACGAUCCUACCCCUGGUAUUCACGUCCUUUCUCCGGAGUGUAAACCAGAACCAGAGGCUUGCUUUCAACCCUCCAGAAUGCAGAAGCAAUGACUUGCCACUUCUGAGACGAGGUUACAAACAGACCAUGGCUCUGGUCUCAGCUGCUCUCUCUCCCCUUCUUUUGGGUUGUUUGCUCUGGGGGAACCCUGGUGAGGGAGCCCUGUAGAGAGACCCAUGGAUGUGAGCCUGAACGCGGAUCCUCCAAGGCCUGCCAACAGCCUUGGAAGUGAACUUACAAGCAGAAGCUCCCUGGGCUGAGCUCUGAGAUGACUGGAGGCCAUGUCGACAUCCUGACUGCAGCCUCAUGGGAGACGCCGAAUCAGAACCACCCAACCAAGAUGCUCCUGGAUUCCGGACCCACAGAAAUAAACUAUAAUGGGAUAGC
Molecule: long non-coding RNA, 7758 nt
Organism: Leopardus geoffroyi (Geoffroy's cat)
Lineage: Eukaryota; Metazoa; Chordata; Mammalia; Carnivora; Felidae
Exons: 2
Source: RefSeq, a predicted model, not a curated record